UACGAAGGGGGCUAGCGUUGCUCGGAAUCACUGGGCGUAAAGCGCACGUAGGCGGCUUGUUAAGUCAGGGGUGAAAUCCUGGAGCUCAACUCCAGAACUGCCUUUGAUACUGGCGAGCUUGAGUUCGGGAGAGGUGGGUGGAACUGCGAGUGUAGAGGUGAAAUUCGUAGAUAUUCGCAAGAACACCAGUGGCGAAGGCGGCUCACUGGCCCGAUACUGACGCUGAGGUGCGAAAGCGUGGGGAGCAAACAGG
Molecule: ribosomal RNA, 253 nt
Filed under: uncultured bacterium
Lineage: Bacteria
Description: partial 16S ribosomal RNA
Rfam family: Bacterial small subunit ribosomal RNA
Source: RNAcentral